Molecule: ribosomal RNA, 505 nt
Filed under: uncultured bacterium
Lineage: Bacteria
Description: partial 16S ribosomal RNA
Rfam family: Bacterial small subunit ribosomal RNA
Source: RNAcentral
GACGAACGCUGGCGGCGUGCCUAAUACAUGCAAGUAGAACGCACAGUUUAUACCGUAGCUUGCUCCACCAUAGACUGUGAGUUGCGAACGGGUGAGUAACGCGUAGGUAACCUGCCUGGUAGCGGGGGAUAACUAUUGGAAACGAUAGCUAAUACCGCAUAAUAUUAAUUAUUGCAUGAUAAUUGAUUGAAAGAUGCAACUGCAUCACUACCAGAUGGACCUGCGUUGUAUUAGCUAGUAGGUGAGGUAACGGCUCACCUAGGCGACGAUACAUAGCCGACCUGAGAGGGUGAUCGGCCACACUGGGACUGAGACACGGCCCAGACUCCUACGGGAGGCAGCAGUAGGGAAUCUUCGGCAAUGGACGAAAGUCUGACCGAGCAACGCCGCGUGAGUGAAGAAGGGUGUCGGAUCGUAAAGCUCUGUUGUAAGAGAAGAACGGGUGUGAGAGUGGAAAGUUCACACUGUGACGGUAUCUUACCAGAAAGGGACGGCUAACUACGUG